GACGAACGCUGGCGGCGUGCUUAACACAUGCAAGUCGAACGGAAAGGCCCCUUUGGGGGUACUCGAGUGGCGAACGGGUGAGUAACACGUGAGUAACCUGCCCUUGACUUCGGGAUAACUUCAGGAAACUGGGGCUAAUACCGGAUAGGAAUCCUUGCUGCAUGGUGGGGGUUGGAAAGCUUCGGCGGUUUUGGAUGGACUCGCGGCUUAUCAGCUUGUUGGUGGGGUAGUGGCUUACCAAGGCUUUGACGGGUAGCCGGCCUGAGAGGGCGACCGGCCACAUUGGGACUGAGAUACGGCCCAGACUCCUACGGAGGCAGCAGUGGGGAAUAUUGCACAAUGGGCGGAAGCCUGAUGCAGCAACGCCGCGUGCGGGAUGACGGCCUUCGGGUUGUAAACCGCUUUCAGCAGGGGCGAAGCUUUUGUGACGGUACCUGCAGAAGAAGCACCGGCUAACUACGUG
Molecule: ribosomal RNA, 463 nt
Filed under: uncultured bacterium
Lineage: Bacteria
Description: partial 16S ribosomal RNA
Rfam family: Bacterial small subunit ribosomal RNA
Source: RNAcentral